UACUCUCACACUUCUGAUUCGUUUUCGGAUUGGGAGCGGUGGACUUGGGUGUUGCUGCUUUACUGUGGCUCACCUCAAAUGAGUUAGUGCAACUCUUGGUUGGACAUAGUACGGCGUGAUAAGUAUCUUCGCCGGCGCCUCGCUUCAGAGGGUGGCCGAUUGGGAGCUCUGUGCUUCAAACCGUCUUCGGACAAUCUCUGACA
RNAcentral lists this unclassified non-coding RNA (203 nucleotides) under uncultured Sebacina. Its description in RNAcentral is "sequence contains ITS2". Lineage: Eukaryota; Fungi; Basidiomycota; Agaricomycetes; Sebacinales; Sebacinaceae. The record is from RNAcentral.